Triticum dicoccoides is the source of this 1621-nucleotide RNA transcript. RefSeq lists it as uncharacterized. The transcript has 5 exons. The record is from RefSeq and is a predicted model, not a curated record. NCBI's taxonomy places the organism in Eukaryota, Viridiplantae, Streptophyta, Magnoliopsida, Poales, Poaceae.
UUCCUUUUUUAUGGAUAUUUUUCUUGUGUGGAACAUGAGGUUGAAGUGUCCCACUGGAGAAGUAGUGUGCCACUGCAAUCCCCAGGUCCUCCUUUUCCUCGUUGUGGCCACAGCUCCGGCCAUGGCGAUGAGCUUCUUGUCCACCGCUAACACAUCGUUCGUGCCCUUCCGCCGCCUCUCCCGCCACAAGCCCACCGCCGCCCCCUCGCUCCCAUUCCCCAUCAAUCGCUGCCGCUCACCCUCCUGCUCCCUUCUCCCUUCCCAGCGCCGGCGCCUCUUCUCUUCCAAGACCCCCACCACCAACCUCCUCUCAUCAAUCACGGCCGCCUCGAGAACCCUGCUCUUCCUUCUCGUCGCCUCCAUCCUCUCCCUCUCCGGCGUCCGGCGCCCCCUCCCGUCACUCGCCGCCCCUCCCCCACCCACGGAGCAACCGCAAGACGACACCAAGGGACAGCAAGAAGAAGAACCCGACCAAGGGGAUCAGGAAGAGGAGGACGAGGCGGAGUGGUUUCGGAAGGAGGAGGAGGAGGUGGAGGCGGCCUGGAUGCAGCCAAGCGACGACGAGGAGGAGGAAGAGGACGACGACGAGGUCCAGAUGUACCUGGAGGUCCUGAGCGAGGACCCGGGCGACGUGGACGCGCUCAAGUGCGUGCUCUUCGCCAGGAUGCGGCGCAAGGACUGGGGCGGCGCGCUGCGCUACGCGGCGCAGCUGCGGGAGGCCGAGCCCGGCGGGGUGGAGUGGCGGCUCAUGGAGGCGCUGCUGCACGAGCUCAAGGGGGACAUCGCCACCGCCGAGCGGCUCUUCCAGGAGGUCCUCGCGGAGAAGCCCCUCCUCGUCCGGGCUCUCCAUGGACUCGCAUUGUGCAUGCAUAAAAGACUCGAAGGACCAACUGUUUUUGAGAUGCUGGAGAAAGCUUUGCAACUCGUAGUAUCCGAGGAAAGGGUCCCAGAAGAGCGCAACAUAAAGCUUCUGAUUGCACAGAUGCAUGUUGUCAAGGGUGACCUGGAUGUUGCAUCAGAGAAAUUGAGAACUCUUAUUAAUGAGGAUCCAAGGGACUUUCGGCCUCAUCUUUGCCAGGGCAUUGUAUAUGCACUUUUGGACAAAAAGGAAGAAGCAGACGAGCAAUUUGAUGUGUACAGAAGCCUUGUGCCGGACGAGUUCCCGGACAAGAGUUUUAUCAAUGAUGUUAUACUAUUGGCCAAAGUGGAGUCAAAAGAUCGGCUACAGAAGGACUUUAGAUCAGAGUACCUAUCUAAAAAGUGACACUUCAGGUUUUCCUAUACCUGAACGGCUCUUCAUACUUAGUGAGGUAGCUCCAGAUAGUUGCGUAUUUAUGCGCAUACAAUGACACAAAGUGCAACAUUGCUAUAAGUGAGAAUGCAGUAUAAUGAAGAUAAGUGAAGGAGAUGUGGAUCUCCUGUAACCUAACCAGAGACGCACCGUUUCGUUGACCUCUCUUCGUCUUAAAUGGAGGCUAAUUCUGGAACGAGCGCCUCCGCUCCCUCGUCUCGAUGAUGAGAGCUGAAGCACUGAUGGGUACGAGAACCGUAAUGCUUGUAAAUGUCUUCCUUUUGUGCGGGAAUACUAGUUAAAGUCAUUCGGCUGGUAAAUUUGGCUCAA